GUCCAGACUCCUACGGGAGGCAGCAGUGAGGAAUAUUGGUCAAUGGGCGGGAGCCUGAACCAGCCAAGCCGCGUGAAGGAAGAAGGCGCCAAGCGUCGUAAACUUCUUUUGUCGGGGAACAAAGGGCGCCACGUGUGGCGUUGUGAGUGUACCCGAAGAAAAAGCAUCGGCUAACUCCGUGCCAGCAGCCGCGGUAAUACGGAGGAUGCGAGCGUUAUCCGGAUUUAUUGGGUUUAAAGGGUGCGUAGGCGGUCCGGAAAGUCAGCGGUAAAAGCCCGGGGCUCAACCCCAUCCAGCCGUUGAAACUGGGGAUCUAGAGUGUGCGAGAGGUAUGCGGAAUGCGUGGUGUAGCGGUGAAAUGCAUAGAUAUCACGCAGAACCCCGAUUGCGAAGGCAGCAUACCGGUGCACAACUGACGCUCAGGCACGAAAGCGUGGGUAUCGAACAGGAUUAGAUACCCGUGUA
Molecule: ribosomal RNA, 465 nt
Filed under: uncultured bacterium
Lineage: Bacteria
Description: partial 16S ribosomal RNA
Rfam family: Bacterial small subunit ribosomal RNA
Source: RNAcentral